Molecule: small RNA, 312 nt
Filed under: Pongo abelii (Sumatran orangutan)
Lineage: Eukaryota; Metazoa; Chordata; Mammalia; Primates; Hominidae
Description: retained intron
Source: RNAcentral
AGCACAGAUAGGCAUAUCAGAUUGUGGGAUCCCCGAACUAAAGAUGGUUCUUUGGUGUCGCUGUCCCUAACCUCACAUACCGGUUGGGUGACAUCAGUAAAAUGGUCUCCUACCCAUGAACAGCAGCUGAUUUCAGGAUCUUUAGAUAACAUUGUUAAGCUGUGGGAUACAAGAAGGUAAAUUCUAUUUAUGAUCUACAAGAGAAACAUAUCAAUUACCUGUUAUAGGAAGGAAAUUAAUACUAAAAUUCUUAUCUAAAACCAGAAGAGUAAAAAGAGCCUCAUGGUUUUGCAACCUCAUGUGACAAAUACU